UUUCCCAACACGAUGCUCUCCCCAAGACACUUCUCUCUUCAGGGUUUCUAAACUCAGUUUUGUGAGUCUUAUUCCACAUUCCAUGCUGGUCUAAACUAUGACCUAUGUUCCUUUACUGAAAGUAGGAGGCUAUUAUAUUCUGCAGAGGAAAAACCAAUAAACUGUAAGAGUUAACAAGAAAAUUAAUACUCAAAUGACCUUGAAUCUUAUAAAUGUCUUUUUAAAUAAAAGAAGUAGUUUUCUCCUAGGUCUCUACAAUUUCACUCCGGUAUAGGUUUUUACAGUCAACUUAUAAAGCUGCUAAAAUAGAAUUUACCAAGAAAGCAACAGAACACAAACUCAAUUAAGAAACACGGUCAUCUCCCUCAGUAUGUAAAGCAAGUGCAUCAAAAGGCAACUCUCCAGCAAGAUGCAGGAGCAAGGUCAUAUCUUUCGAAGGCUAAAUGAAGAUAAAUUUCAAAAGCUCUCUCCUUAACACCUUGCUGAAGAAAAUUGCAUUUCUUUCUACUCUAUUUGCUAAAGUUGCUGUGCUUCCUGCCUUUAAUGACCAACCUCUUUGACCAGGCUCUGCAGAAAUCUCAUAAAGAUGGACUUCAAUUACAAGCACAGCACAGCGCCACGGCUGCAUAG
Non-coding RNA from Vicugna pacos (alpaca), 630 nucleotides. NCBI's taxonomy places the organism in Eukaryota, Metazoa, Chordata, Mammalia, Artiodactyla, Camelidae. The record is from RefSeq and is a predicted model, not a curated record.